GAUGAACGCUAGCGGCAGGCCUAACACAUGCAAGUCGAGGGGCAGCGGGGUGUAGCAAUACACUGCCGGCGACCGGCGCACGGGUGCGUAACGCGUAUACAAUUUGCCUUAUACUGGGAGAUAGCCCGGAGAAAUCCGGAUUAAUAUCGCAUAAAAUUGAGAGGUCGCACGAUUUCACAAUUAAAGCUACGGCGGUAUAAGAUGAGUUUGCGUCCUAUUAGCUAGUUGGUGAGGUAACGGCUCACCAAGGCGACGAUAGGUAGGGGGCCUGAGAGGGUUAUCCCCCACACUGGUACUGAGACACGGACCAGACUCCUACGGGAGGCAGCAGUGAGGAAUAUUGGUCAAUGGAGGCAACUCUGAACCAGCCAUGCCGCGUGCAGGAUGAAUGCCCUAUGGGUUGUAAACUGCUUUUAUUUGGGAAUAAACCCCUCUUACGUGUAAGAGGCUGAAGGUACCAAAGGAAUAAGGACCGGCUAACUCCGUGCCAGCAGCCGCGGUAAUAC
RNAcentral lists this ribosomal RNA (506 nucleotides) under uncultured bacterium. RNAcentral describes it as "bacterial SSU rRNA". It matches the Rfam family "Bacterial small subunit ribosomal RNA", at positions 28 to 526 of the family's 1533-position model. The record is from RNAcentral.